CUGAUUUGCUUGGUGCUGGUCGGGAACCAUUACAUCCACAGUUUCCGUAGAAACUUUCCCUUAGUAAAUUGGACCCCGUCUUGCAUCAAUCGAAUCAG
This 98-nucleotide microRNA precursor is filed under the name Medicago truncatula (barrel medic). RNAcentral's name for it is "miR168 stem-loop (mtr-MIR168a)". Its record names the gene mtr-MIR168a. It matches the Rfam family "MIR168 microRNA precursor family", at positions 14 to 115 of the family's 129-position model. Lineage: Eukaryota; Viridiplantae; Streptophyta; Magnoliopsida; Fabales; Fabaceae. The record is from miRBase by way of RNAcentral.